Molecule: RNA transcript, 4111 nt
Organism: Eublepharis macularius
Lineage: Eukaryota; Metazoa; Chordata; Lepidosauria; Squamata; Eublepharidae
Gene: ZDHHC8
Gene name: zinc finger DHHC-type palmitoyltransferase 8
Exons: 12
Source: RefSeq, a predicted model, not a curated record
UCUUUUUUUCCCUCCUACCCCCCUGUCCCCCCUCCCCUGCCUGGUCUCUGCACUGCAAGCCCUUCCUCGCGGCGGCUUCCUCUCUGCCUCCCUCUCUCUCUAGUCUGGCUAUCGGGGGCCUCUCGGACUCUUUGGGAUCCGUCUAGUGAUGUGUUAGGCACAGGAUGCCCAACAGCAUUGGAAAAAGGUUUAAACCCACGAAAUACAUCCCGGUCUCUACAGCCGCUGCCUUAUUAGUGGGAUCCACGACUUUGUUCUUCGUCUUCACGUGCCCCUGGUUAACAAGAGCCGUCUCUCCAGCCAUCCCUCUGUACAAUGGGCUCGUGUUUCUUUUUGUCCUUGCAAACUUCAGCAUGGCGACAUUCAUGGACCCAGGGGUUUUUCCACGAGCAGAUGAAGAUGAGGAUAAAGAUGAUGAUUUCCGAGCUCCGCUGUACAAGAACGUGGAGAUCAAAGGAAUCCAAGUACGGAUGAAAUGGUGUGCCACUUGCCACUUCUAUCGCCCUCCCCGCUGCUCCCACUGCAGUGUCUGUGACAACUGUGUGGAGGAUUUUGACCAUCACUGCCCUUGGGUUAAUAACUGCAUAGGACGGAGGAACUACCGAUAUUUUUUCCUUUUCUUGCUGUCCUUGAGUGCCCACAUGGUUGGAGUAUUCACCUUUGGACUAAUCUUCGUUUUAAACCAUGCGGAAAAACUGGGGGCAGUACACACCGCCAUUACCAUGGCUGUCAUGUGUGUGGCUGGAUUGUUCUUUAUUCCAGUCAUUGGCCUCACGGGAUUCCAUAUAGUUCUAGUGGCACGAGGACGCACAACCAAUGAACAGGUGACAGGUAAAUUCCGUGGAGGAGUGAAUCCUUUCACUCGAGGAUGCUGUGGUAACGUGGAACAUGUUCUCUGCAGCCCUCUGGCACCCAGGUACAUUGUUGAGCCAAAGAAGAAGCAGCCAGUAAGUGUGAAGCCACCUUUUCUGAGACCAGAUUUAACUGAACGGCAGAUUACAGUCAAGAUAAGUGAUAACGGCAUUCAAGCCAACCUCAACCGGAGCAAGAUGUGCAGUGCCCUCUGGACCUUGAGAGGAUAUUGUUUUGGGGUUAUUUUUCAGUCUAAAGUUAGCCUGGAAGGGCUGGAAGACAAAAGCCUGGAUAUCCAACCACCUCUACCACCCAAAGGAGAUUCCAACAAAUACAAUGAACUGGGGAACAGUGAAGAGAGCAGCCUUUCACCCAAACUGAUCAGCCCUCCCACACCAGCAAUGUACAAGUAUCGUCCGGCAUUCAGCAACAAUCCUAAAGUACACUAUCAUGGAGCAUCUGAACAGAUCUCCAUACAGGAUGGCCAUACGCAAGCAGCUGUUAUGGAGGAGAAUGACAGCAGUCUCGAUUACCAGUCAGAACCAAGCCUUGAUAUCCCCAACUAUCGGAAGAGUUCCCUUCACAAGACCUACCAGUCUUCUCCACUCCAAAUAGACUCCUUUGCCAUCAAUUCAAGGUCAUUGAGCCUAAAAUCUGCCGGCAGCCGCGGGAUAGACAAAGUACCCCUCCAUCCACUGAAGUCCGAAGGGGCUGCCUCCACACCGUAUAAGAGCAUCUUUUCCCCCAAUUCUUUGUCGAACAGGAACGGAAGCUUGUCUUACGACAGUUUGCUCAACCCCAUGUCCCCUUCGGGAAGGAGGUGCAUAGCUCAUUCCGCCGUGGGCUCCAUAGGGUACCAUUCGCCAUAUUUGUCUGCCAAAAUGUGCCACCUGCGGGGCAGAGAGCUUCAGCGCCCACCGCCACAGAGCUUCAGCCCUGUGCUGGGCAGCCCAGCCCCACACCCGCGCGACCCCUCGCCAGUCCGCUAUGACAACCUGUCGAAAACUAUCAUGGCGUCCAUUCAGGAGCGGAAAGAAAUGGAAGAGAGGGAAAAGCUCCUCCACUCUCACCCGGACUCUGUGUUUGCAGACUCGGGGGUGUAUGACACCCCUAGCUCUUACAGCCUUCAGCAAGUCAGCAUGCUGUCGGAAGACCCUCGUAGCAUAGUCCUGAGAUAUGGCUCUAGAGACAAUCUGAUGACCGCAUCCAGUUUUAGCACAAGGAAUCCUGUCCUGCAGGCCUCGGUUACUUCGCUCUCAAGUGCAAUGACCAGAACAUCAAGGACUUCCACUCCUUCCCUUCAAGCUGACUUAGCCAAUAACAAUGUCCAGGCCCAUCAGGCGUUGCAGGGCAGGGUGAGCAAUGGCUCCUACAAGUCUCCCGGUCACCAAGUCCCGUCAUCCCCCAGUGGGAUGCCCAGGUCCCCCUCAUACGGCCCGAAAGCUGUCUCGUUUGUUAAUGCUGUAGAUAUAACAGAGGCACAGCCAAUGGGAACUCCAAGGGAGGACAUCCAAUUGAAGACACCCCACAGUAAAAUUAAUGGACAGCCCAAAGGAAUUUCAAGGGUAGAGUGUCGAAUAGGGUCAACGCCAAGCCCCCAGGGCCCUCCAGUGAGCCCCGCUAGACACUCAAACGUUAAGAAAGUGUCUGGAGUGGGUGGAACAACCUAUGAAAUUUCAGUAUAAAAAGAAAUUUGUGAAGUAAAGAGCCAUCCGCAAAACCAGCCAUGAAGCUAGGUGCACUGUGAAAACUCAGAUAAUAACUCCAACAAGAAGAAAAAGAAGAGGAGCAGCUGAUGGUGUCGUUUCUGUUUCGUUUCAUGGGGUCAAGGUUCGCUUUACCUAGAGUUCCUCCAGAGCGGAGCUGAUUUGAAAAUGGAGAUGACAAAUCCUCAAGCAAGUUGUUUGCAAAAAUUCGGAAGGAUCCCCCACCCCCUGCCCACCUUUCUCAGUCAUGGACACUGCUGGAUUUUGGAACUGUAGAGAAAAGCAAUGUGUUUAAAAAAAAGAUUUAAGGAACCUGAUAUGCACAUUAUUGCCUUAAAAGUCAUUGACAAGAGUUAAGAUGUGUAUUUUUUAAAAGAAGCAUCCCUCAGAGUUUAAUUUUGAAAGUGAAAUUGGAAAAAAAGUUCAGGACUUUAAAGAGUUGAAUUAGAAUGGCAGAAUUCUUGUGGAAUUUCAUUUCAGCUCUAAUCCAGAAAGCUCGAAUUUCAGGGGAUAAGUGUCUUAUUUCAGCACUUCUAAGGCCAGAUGGAGAGACUGCUGGCGACAAUUGCUGAUUCCUUCCCAGUCCACAAAACUGGCAGCAAUUGAAAUAGCUUUGUCAGUCCGUGUAGCUUGCUUUCCACACUUACCACAAGCCAUCUCCUGGCAAAUGAGGUCCAAACAAAUAAACUCGGACCAACCAAAUUAUUGCCAUGGAACAAGCAAUCUCCACAGAACUCUUCAUCAGGCUCAGUGUUCAGAUACCACUUGAAGGAGAGUUCUGUGAAAUGUGGAAGUUGGCUCACUAGUUUGCGAUACCUUGAAAAGGUAUUGGAAGGAAGGCAGCAUGGUAUAGCCUGACCUUGUUAGAUCUUGAAAGCUAAGCUGGGUUGGUACUUGGUUGGUGGGCCACCAAGCCUCUUGCUGGGGUCACCAUAAGUGAUUUGAAAGCAUGUACAUGCAUAAUGAAAAGGUACUACACUCCUACUGUUUGAGUUUUCCUCUCUAUUGGACCUGCAAAGCUUCCUAUGGUCUUUGUUCUGGUAAACGCAGUCACUGUUCUUCCCUGGACACUUCGUGCUCCUCUGAUAGACUGCUACAAAGUCCAGUCAAAACUGUGGGAUACUUCUGUCUAUACAAACCUCUUCACAGGGCAAUCAUAAGCAAAGUUCCACCCUUCUAAGUCCCUUGAAAAUGGGGUUAGAAAGAUGUAGCUGUGUUCAGGAUUGCACUAGGGUUGCCAGUCUCCAGGUGGCAACUGGAGAGUUCCCGGAAUUACAACUGGUCUCCAGCCCACAGAUAUCAGUUCCCCUGGAGAAAAUGGCUGCUUUGGAGGGUGGACUCUAUGGCAUUAUACCCAGCGGAGGCCCCUCCCUUCCCACGCUCUCUAGGAUCCACCCCCUUCAAAUCUCCAGGAAUUUCCAAACCUGGAGCUGGUAACCCUCGAUUGCACUGUAGGUCACUUUUCUUCACAUCUCCACUUCAUUGCUCCCCACUGGCACUCUUUUAAAAAAUGUAAAUGCUUUGGUUUUCCAUCCAAUAGAUCAAGAUAGGUC